AAAAGAAACCAACAGGGAUUACCUCAGUAACGGCGAGUGAAGCGGUAACAGCUCAAAUUUGAAAGCUAGCUCUUUAGGGUUCGCAUUGUAAUUUGUAGAAGAUGCUUCGGGUGUGGCCCCGGUCUAAGUUCCUUGGAACAGGACGUCAUAGAGGGUGAGAAUCCCGUAUGUGACUGGGUGCUUUCGCUCAUGUGAAGCUCUUUCGACGAGUCGAGUUGUUUGGGAAUGCAGCUCAAAAUGGGUGGUAAAUUUCAUCUAAAGCUAAAUAUUGGCCAGAGACCGAUAGCGCACAAGUAGAGUGAUCGAAAGAUGAAAAGCACUUUGGAAAGAGAGUUAAACAGUACGUGAAAUUGUUGAAAGGGAAGCGCUUGCAGCCAGACUUGCGCGCUGAUGAUCAUCCGGGCUUCUGCCCGGUGCACUCGUCUGCGCUCAGGCCAGCAUCGGUUUCGGUGGUGGGAUAAAGGCCUUGGGAAUGUAGCUCCUCUCGGGGAGUGUUAUAGCCCUCGGUGCAAUGCCGCCUACCGGGACCGAGGACCGCGCUUCGGCUAGGAUGCUGGCGUAAUGGUUGUAAGCGACCCGUCUUGAAACACGGACCAA
Molecule: ribosomal RNA, 597 nt
Filed under: uncultured ascomycote Concarneau_5
Lineage: Eukaryota; Fungi; Ascomycota
Description: eukaryotic LSU rRNA
Rfam family: Eukaryotic large subunit ribosomal RNA
Source: RNAcentral